This 3580-nucleotide long non-coding RNA is filed under the name Manihot esculenta (cassava). RNAcentral's name for it is "long non-coding RNA (MESC_LNC008068)". The record is from RNAcentral. Lineage: Eukaryota; Viridiplantae; Streptophyta; Magnoliopsida; Malpighiales; Euphorbiaceae.
UUUUUUAUAUUUACCUUCUGAAAUAAUAAAGAGCUGAAGCUUGAGUUAAUCGGGCAAACACUGGGCUGCAACAGCCCAGAUUCCACCACCUAACGGCUAUAACCGUUUGAAAAUAAGCAUAUAACUAAUAAAUCCUCUUCUCAUUUCAUUCAAUUUCAAAUCCGUCAAUCCCCUUUCUCUCCCAAAGGUUCUUUCAAUCUCUGUGAGAAACCACUUUCUCUGUUGUUUUUACUCUCCCUCUUCUCACAUCUUUUUUUCUCCAUUUCACUUCUUCAAGAAGGAAUUCGAGAAAUCACAACCCCUUUCACAUGGCGUAUCUGUGAAUCUGUUACCUAGUACAAUUCUGAGUCUCUUUUCUUUUCCCUUUUCUUUUUCUCUGUUUGGCUGCUAGGAUUCGGAAAAGUGAGGGAGAAAACCUUGAGUUUAUUUUUUUCGAAUUGCCAUUUCCUCAGUUUCGUUUCUUUUUCUUGGAAUGGUUUUAUUAUGGAUUAUUUCAUGAUUUAUCAGUUUCUCUCUUUUUGCAUGAAUGAUUUUGGGGUUUUUGUUGCUUCGUAUUUUUUACAUUGUGCAUCCAAGCUAGCCCAUGCUUAAUUUCUGAUAAAUGCAGAAAAAAGUUAAGAAAAAUGAGAUAUUUUAAGUCUUCCCUUUCAUAAUUGUCCUCUCACUCGAUAGUCUCCAUUUCACUUCUUCAACAAGGGAACCGAGGAAUCACAACUUCUUUCAUAGUAUGGCGUAUCACCAGGUACAUUUCCGAGUCUCUUUUCCCUUUUUUUCUCUUUUCGCUGUUUGGUUGCUAGGGUUGCAGAUCUGGAAAUAAAAACAUAACAUUUGGUUUUAUUAUGGAUUAUUUCAUGAUUUAUCAGAAAAAAAUGGAAGAAAAAUAAGAUCUUUAAAAAGCUUUUCUAGGCUUUUGCCCUCAUAGGAUAAGUCUUUUAGUUACGGCCAUAUGCGGUCCAAAACACCCAAAAGCCUAAGAUUCAAAAUUUACUUGCGUUCUUUAUGCAUCUAGUUCCAAGUUCUAUGUGUGUUGGAUGAUCAUGCAACACAAUUAAACAGAGCGAGUAUAAGCUCUGACUAGAUAUGCUGGGAACAGGUAUAGUGACAUCAAGUUCAAGGGAGAUGCUUGGAGAGGAGAUAUCCAUUGCAAGCCCACUUUCCUAGUGCCAACUAAUAAGACCACCCUUAGCUGCACAAUAAACAGUUUAAAAAUUUUUUUUUUUUUGAAAUAGGGGUGGAGAAGUCGAACCUUAGACCUCACAAUGCUGCUAGAAUGCACUUUCCACUAAGCUAGACUAAGCCUUGGAGUGCAAACCAUUUAAAAAUUUAAAAGUAUAAAUACAUAGAUAUAAUUUAUUUUUAUAUGAAUUUCAUUAUAAUUAUUAUAUUUUAUCCACUUAAAUUGAAUCAUAAGACUUAUUUAUAUGAAAAUUUUAAAAUUUUUUAUUAUUUUAUAAUUUAAUUUAAAAUUUUAUAAAUUAAUAAAAUUAUCUAAAAUUAUAAAUUUUAUUACAAUUAUAUCUAAAUUUAAAACUUAAAUAGAUAAAAGUAUGUCUUGUUGAUUUGACAAAAUAAUCUUAAUUAUUUUAUUAUAUCAUAAGUCAAGAUAAAUACUAUUUAUAAAAAAAUCUAAAUCCUUUUAGUUAAUUUGCAAUUUAAUUUAAAAUUUUAAAAAUUGAUCUAAUUUAAUUAAAAAUUUUUAAAUUUAUUUGUCUUCAAUUUAGUAUAAUCUAAUGUAAAAAAUCAUAAUUUUAACUUUUUUUUAUUUGUCAUUAAUUUCAAUAAAAAUUAUAAUAAGUCUUAUAUUUAUUGAUUUUUUAUUUUUUAAUAAUUUGUUAGGUGUCUAUAUCAUAAAUUUUACUAUAAUUAUUAUAAAAAAAUAUUAAUAUAAUAAAAAUAGAAAUUAUAGUGUUACUAUUUACAAUUCUACUAUUAAUCUUCUAUUAUAACUUAAUAGUUAUAAAAUCAACACUCGAAAACACAAACAGAAAUAUUGUAUUAAUAAUAGGUAUAAUUAAAAUUUAAAAAAAUUAAGGGAAUCAAAAUUAAAAAAAGAAAAAAGUUCUAUUAUAGUUUAUUGCACCAAAUAUAUAAAAAUAAAUAGAAAUUUAAUAGUAAAAACAUGAUAAAUUUAAAAAUUUUGAGUUGAAUUAUAUUAAUUUACAUCAAAUUAUAAAAUAAUUAAAAUUUUUAAAUUUUUUGUAUUUAUAAUAUUUAUUUACGUAACAUAUGAGUAAAAUAAAAUAAUUUACAUUAUCUUGCGGAUGUGGCAAGAUCCACUUUCCUUAAUUUAAUUUUUAACUUUUAAGAGAUUCAACUUUUAGGUUUGAAUAUAAUUACAAUAAAAUUUAUAAUUUUUAGAUAAUUUUACUGAUUUAUUUAAUUUUGAAUUAAAUUAUAAAAUAAUAAAAAAUUUUAAAAUUUUCAUACAAAUAGGCUUUUUAAUAAACAUUUUAAUUAACCUUAUCAAAAUAAAGUGAAAAUAUUUUCACAAUAGCAUCAAUUAAAUUAUAGGAAAUCAAAUUAUACGAGAAAAAAAUAUUAUUUAAUUUAUAUAAUUCAGUAAAAAUUAAAUACUUAAUUUCUCUAUUUUUAAAUUAAUUAAUUUCUACCAUCUCAAGCCAUUUUGGGGGCAAAAACUUGUUACAUAGCAAAUUAUCAGUAAUCAUAGCAGUGGAUUUAGAUAAAAUUUUUUAAUCAAUAUAUAAAAAUAAAUAAGAAAGUUCUAUAAAAUUAAUAUAUUUGCUUUUUAUAACUUUUCAUUACUUGAGUAGGCUGAUCUAUGUUUAAAAAAAAAGAAAAAAAAAAAAGAAUUAAGACUGAUCUAAACAUUGAUUAGUAUGGCCCAUUGGGCCUCCCUUCUAAAAUAAAUUUUGAAAAUUAAAGAGCCCGAAGCUUGGGCCCGAAACACUGAGAUGCUAACAGCCCAAAUUCCACUACCAAACGGCUAUAACCGUUUGAAAAUGAGCAUAUAACUAAAUCCUCUUCUCAUUUGUCUCUCAUGUUCAAUUUCAAAUCCGUCAAUCUCCUUUCUCGUCCAACGGUUCUUUCCAUAUCUGUGAGAAACCACUUUCUCGGUUGUUUUUACUCCUCUUCUCCAUCUUUCUGUCUCCAUUUCACUUCUUCAAGAAGGAAGUUGAGAAAUCACAACUCCUUUCUCAUGGCGUAUCUAUGAAUUUGUUACCUGGUACACUCGAGUCUCUUUCCUUUUCCUUGNNNNNNNNNNNNNNNNNNNNNNNNNNNNNNNNNNNNNNNGUUUGGCUGCUAGGAUUCGGAAAAGUGAAGGAGAAAACCUUGAGUUUAUUUUUUUGAAUUGCCAUUUCCAUUUUCUUAGUUUCUUUUCGUUUUCUUGGAAAUGAAAACACAGAGCAUUUUGUUUUAUUAUGGAUUAUUUCAUGAUUUUUCAGUCUGGCUAUUUUUACAUGGAUAAUUUUGAGGUUUUUGUUGCUUCUUUUUUUACAUUGUGCAUUUCAAGUUAGCCCAUAUAUAUUGUUUUAAUGAAAACUCUUUAAUGAGUUUUUGAGUCGAUUAAUAAAUUACUAUUUGAUGACCGCUGGAUUUCCUUAUCCCCAAUCCUGGGCCU